RNAcentral lists this ribosomal RNA (397 nucleotides) under uncultured bacterium. Its description in RNAcentral is "partial 16S ribosomal RNA". It matches the Rfam family "Bacterial small subunit ribosomal RNA", at positions 523 to 918 of the family's 1533-position model. The record is from RNAcentral.
AUACGUAGGUGCAACGCGUUAUCCGGAUUUACUGGGCGUAAAGGGCGUGUAGGCGGUCUUGCAAGUCAGAAGUGAAAUUCCUGAGCUCAACUCGGGAGCUGCUUCUGAAACUGCAGGACUUGAGUGCUGGAUGGGAUAGCGGAAUUCCUAGUGGAGCGGUAAAAUGCGCAGAUAUUAGGAAGAACAACGGUGGUGAAGGCGGCUAUCUGGACAUUAACUGACGCGGAGGGGCGAAAGCGUGGGGAGCAAACAGGAUUAUAUACCCGGGUUGUCCACGCCGUAAACGAUGAAUACUAGGUGUAGGGGGUAUCGACUCCCUCUGUGCCGCAGUUAACACAAUAAGUAUUCCGCCUGGGGAGUACGGCCGCAAGGUUGAAACUAAAAGGAAUUGACGGGG